UCCGUAGGUGGAUAAUUAAGUCAGAGGUGAAAUCCUGCAGCUCAACUGUAGAAUUGCCUUUGAUACUGGUUAUCUUGAGUCAUUAUGAAGUGGUUAGAAUGUGUAGUGUAGCGGUGAAAUGCAUAGAUAUUACACAGAAUACCGAUUGCGAAGGCAGAUCACUAAUAAUGUACUGACACUGAUGGACGAAAGCGUGGGGAGCGAACAGGAUUAGAUACUCUGGUAGUCC
Molecule: ribosomal RNA, 229 nt
Filed under: uncultured bacterium
Lineage: Bacteria
Description: partial 16S ribosomal RNA
Rfam family: Bacterial small subunit ribosomal RNA
Source: RNAcentral